This 63-nucleotide transfer RNA is filed under the name Omophoita octoguttata. RNAcentral's name for it is "tRNA-Phe". Lineage: Eukaryota; Metazoa; Arthropoda; Insecta; Coleoptera; Chrysomelidae. The record is from RNAcentral. RNAcentral also lists the same sequence under 2 other names.
ACUUAAAUAGCUUAUAUUAGAGUUUAAUAUUGAAGAUAUUAAGGAAGUUGAAACUUUUAAGUA